This 430-nucleotide ribosomal RNA is filed under the name Bacillota bacterium. RNAcentral describes it as "Firmicutes bacterium partial 16S ribosomal RNA". It matches the Rfam family "Bacterial small subunit ribosomal RNA", at positions 355 to 776 of the family's 1533-position model. Lineage: Bacteria; Bacillati; Bacillota. The record is from RNAcentral.
UGGGGAAUAUUGGACAAUGGGCGCAAGCCUGAUCCAGCCAUGCCGCGUGUGUGAAGAAGGCCUUUUGGUUGUAAAGCACUUUAAGCGAGGAGGAGGCUACUUGGAUUAAUACUCUAGGAUAGUGGACGUUACUCGCAGAAUAAGCACCGGCUAACUCUGUGCCAGCAGCCGCGGUAAUACAGAGGGUGCGAGCGUUAAUCGGAUUUACUGGGCGUAAAGCGUGCGUAGGCGGCUUCUUAAGUCGGAUGUGAAAUCCCUGAGCUUAACUUAGGAAAUGCAUUCGAUACUGGGAAGCUAGAGUAUGGGAGAGGAUGGUAGAAUUCCAGGUGUAGCGGUGAAAUGCGUAGAGAUCUGGAGGAAUACCGAUGGCGAAGGCAGCCAUCUGGCCUAAUACUGACGCUGAGGUACGAAAGCAUGGGGAGCAAACAGG